UACGAAGGGAGCUAGCGUUGUUCGGAAUCACUGGGCGUAAAGCGCACGUAGGCGGAUGUGUCAGUCAGGGGUGAAAUCCCGGAGCUCAACUUCGGAACUGCCUUUGAUACAGCACGUCUUGAGUCCGAUAGAGGUGGGUGGAAUUCCUAGUGUAGAGGUGAAAUUCGUAGAUAUUGGGAAGAACACCGGUGGCGAAGGCGGCUCUCUGGACCGAUACUGACGCUGAGGCGCGAAAGCGUGGGGAGCAAACAGG
This 253-nucleotide ribosomal RNA is filed under the name uncultured bacterium. RNAcentral describes it as "partial 16S ribosomal RNA". It matches the Rfam family "Bacterial small subunit ribosomal RNA", at positions 524 to 776 of the family's 1533-position model. The record is from RNAcentral.